GUGGGGAAUUUUGGACAAUGGGCGAAAGCCUGAUCCAGCAAUGCCGCGUGCAGGAUGAAGGCCCUCGGGUUGUAAACUGCUUUUGUACGGAACGAAAAGCCUGGGGCUAAUAUCCCCGGGUCAUGACGGUACCGUAAGAAUAAGCACCGGCUAACUACGUGCCCGCAGCCGCGGUAAUACGUAGGGUGCAAGCGUUAAUCGGAAUUACUGGGCGUAAAGCGUGCGCAGGCGGUUUUGUAAGACAGUGGUGAAAUCCCCGGGCUCAAGCUGGGAACUGGCAUGGUGACUGCAAGGCUAGAGUGCGGCAGAGGGGGAUGGAAUUCCGCGUGUAGCAGUGAAAUGCGUAGAGAUGCGGAGGAACACCGAUGGCGAAGGCAAUCCCCUGGGCCUGCACUGACGCUCAUGCACGAAAGCGUGGGGAGCAAACAGGAUUAGAUACCCCGGUAGUCC
Molecule: ribosomal RNA, 450 nt
Filed under: uncultured bacterium
Lineage: Bacteria
Description: partial 16S ribosomal RNA
Rfam family: Bacterial small subunit ribosomal RNA
Source: RNAcentral